GGAUUAGUGGCGAACGGGUGANNNNCNCGUGGGCAAUCUGCCCUUCACUCUGGGACAAGCCCUGGAAACGGGGUCUAAUACCGGAUAACACCUGCCCGGGCAUCUGGGUGGGUUAAAAGCUCCGGCGGUGAAGGAUGAGCCCGCGGCCUAUCAGCUUGUUGGUGAGGUAGUGGCUCACCAAGGCGACGACGGGUAGCCGGCCUGAGAGGGCGACCGGCCACACUGGGACUGAGACACGGCCCAGACUCAUACGGGAGGCAGCAGUGGGGAAUAUUGCACAAUGGGCGAAAGCCUGAUGCAGCGACGCCGCGUGAGGGAUGACGGCCUUCGGGUUGUAAACCUCUUUCAGCAGGGAAGAAGCGAAAGUGACGGUACCUGCAGAAGAAGCGCCGGCUAACUACGUGCCAGCAGCCGCGGUAAUACGUAGGGCGCAAGCGUUGUCCGGAAUUAUUGGGCGUAAAGAGCUCGUAGGCGGCUUGUCACGUCGGGUGUGAAAGCCCGGGGCUUAACCCCGGGUCUGCAUUCGAUACGGGCUAGCUAGAGUGUGGUAGGGGAGAUCGGAAUUCCUGGUGUAGCGGUGAAAUGCGCAGAUAUCAGGAGGAACACCGGUGGCGAAGGCGGAUCUCUGGGCCAUUACUGACGCUGAGGAGCGAAAGCGUGGGGAGCGAACAGGAUUAGAUACCCUGGUAGUCCACGCCGUAANCGGUGGGAACUAGGUGUUGGCGACAUUCCACGUCGUCGGUGCCGCAGCUAACGCAUUAAGUUCCCCGCCUGGGGAGUACGGCCGCAAGGCUAAAACUCAANGGAAUUGACGGGGGCCCGCACAAGCAGCGGAGCAUGUGGCUUAAUUCGACGCAACGCGAAGAACCUUACCAAGGCUUGACAUACACCGGAAACGGCCAGAGAUGGUCNCCCCC
RNAcentral lists this ribosomal RNA (917 nucleotides) under Streptomyces sp. Its description in RNAcentral is "bacterial SSU rRNA". It matches the Rfam family "Bacterial small subunit ribosomal RNA", at positions 89 to 1017 of the family's 1533-position model. The record is from RNAcentral. Lineage: Bacteria; Bacillati; Actinomycetota; Actinomycetes; Kitasatosporales; Streptomycetaceae.